GAUGAACGCUGGCGGCGUGCCUAAUACAUGCAAGUCGAGCGAACAGACGAGGAGCUUGCUCCUCUGACGUUAGCGGCGGACGGGUGAGUAACACGUGGAUAACCUACCUAUAAGACUGGGAUAACUUCGGGAAACCGGAGCUAAUACCGGAUAAUAUAUUGAACCGCAUGGUUCAAUAGUGAAAGACGGUUUUGCUGUCACUUAUAGAUGGAUCCGCGCCGCAUUAGCUAGUUGGUAAGGUAACGGCUUACCAAGGCAACGAUGCGUAGCCGACCUGAGAGGGUGAUCGGCCACCCGGGAACUGAGACACGGCCCAGACUCCUACGGGAGGCAGCAGUAGGGAAUCUUCCGCAAUGGGCGAAAGCCUGACGGAGCAACGCCGCGUGAGUGAUGAAGGUCUUCGGAUCGUAAAACUCUGUUAUUAGGGAAGAACAAAUGUGUAAGUAACUAUGCACGUAUUGACGGUACCUAAUCAGAAAGCCACGGCUAACUACGUG
RNAcentral lists this ribosomal RNA (497 nucleotides) under uncultured bacterium. RNAcentral's name for it is "partial 16S ribosomal RNA". It matches the Rfam family "Bacterial small subunit ribosomal RNA", at positions 28 to 507 of the family's 1533-position model. The record is from RNAcentral.